RNAcentral lists this long non-coding RNA (364 nucleotides) under Capsicum annuum. RNAcentral's name for it is "long non-coding RNA (CANN_LNC001066)". The record is from RNAcentral. Lineage: Eukaryota; Viridiplantae; Streptophyta; Magnoliopsida; Solanales; Solanaceae.
GGUGAGUUCCCUCCACCACCACCACCAUCGCCCAAGACAUGGGAUUUUCACUAGCAAACACCACUACAUCACCAACGCAGCUCGGUCCUCUCUCCUUUCUCUUCUUUCCCUCUCCUCUUUGUUGCUGCCUCGUUGGAGGUGACGAUCAGCAAGCUCUAACAGUUGCCAUCAUUGUGGAAAUACCCUUCCCAUCUCCCUUUGAUUCAUUAUUACUUAUAGGGAAAAUGGCAUUUUCAACCAUUGACACCAAAAAGGGCCAGAUUCGGUCGAAAUUUCAGUGGCAACUCCAAAAAGUUCAUAUCUAGCAUGAAAAUCAUUUCUUUCGAUCAUCGUUUUUAUAUUUUUAUAAUUUUGUUAUACUGAG